RNAcentral lists this ribosomal RNA (292 nucleotides) under uncultured bacterium. RNAcentral's name for it is "partial 16S ribosomal RNA". It matches the Rfam family "Bacterial small subunit ribosomal RNA", at positions 773 to 1060 of the family's 1533-position model. The record is from RNAcentral.
GUGGAUUAGAUACCCUGGUAGUCCUAGCUGUAAACGAUGCUGACUAGGUGUGGGAGGUAUCGACCCCUUCCGUGCCGCCGCUAACGCUUUAAGUCAGCCGCCUGGGGAGUACGGCCGCAAGGUUAAAACUCAAAGGAAUUGACGGGGGCCCGCACAAGCGGUGGAGCAUGUGGUUUAAUUCGACGCUACGCGAAGAACCUUACCUGGGCUCGAACGACUGGUGGUAGUCCCGAUGAAAGUUGGGGCGACCCGCAAGGGAGCCAGCCGAGGUGCUGCAUGGCCGUCGCCAGCU